UUAAGCGACUAAGCGUACACGGUGGAUGCCCUGGCAGUCAGAGGCGAUGAAGGACGUGCUAAUCUGCGAUAAGCGUCGGUAAGGUGAUAUGAACCGUUAUAACCGGCGAUUUCCGAAUGGGGAAACCCAGUGUGUUUCGACACACUAUCAUUAACUGAAUCCAUAGGUUAAUGAGGCGAACCGGGGGAACUGAAACAUCUAAGUACCCCGAGGAAAAGAAAUCAACCGAGAUUCCCCCAGUAGCGGCGAGCGAACGGGGAGCAGCCCAGAGCCUGAAUCAGUGUGUGUGUUAGUGGAAGCGUCUGGAAAGGCGCGCGAUACAGGGUGACAGCCCCGUACACAAAAAUGCACAUGCUGUGAGCUCGAUGAGUAGGGCGGGACACGUGGUAUCCUGUCUGAAUAUGGGGGGACCAUCCUCCAAGGCUAAAUACUCCUGACUGACCGAUAGUGAACCAGUACCGUGAGGGAAAGGCGAAAAGAACCCCGGCGAGGGGAGUGAAAAAGAACCUGAAACCGUGUACGUACAAGCAGUGGGAGCACGCUUAGGCGUGUGACUGCGUACCUUUUGUAUAAUGGGUCAGCGACUUAUAUUCUGUAGCAAGGUUAACCGAAUAGGGGAGCCGAAGGGAAACCGAGUCUUAACUGGGCGUUAAGUUGCAGGGUAUAGACCCGAAACCCGGUGAUCUAGCCAUGGGCAGGUUGAAGGUUGGGUAACACUAACUGGAGGACCGAACCGACUAAUGUUGAAAAAUUAGCGGAUGACUUGUGGCUGGGGGUGAAAGGCCAAUCAAACCCGGAGAUAGCUGGUUCUCCCCGAAAGCUAUUUAGGUAGCGCCUCGUGAAUUCAUCUCCGGGGGUAGAGCACUGUUUCGGCAAGGGGGUCAUCCCGACUUACCAACCCGAUGCAAACUGCGAAUACCGGAGAAUGUUAUCACGGGAGACACACGGCGGGUGCUAACGUCCGUCGUGAAGAGGGAAACAACCCAGACCGCCAGCUAAGGUCCCAAAGUCAUGGUUAAGUGGGAAACGAUGUGGGAAGGCCCAGACAGCCAGGAUGUUGGCUUAGAAGCAGCCAUCAUUUAAAGAAAGCGUAAUAGCUCACUGGUCGAGUCGGCCUGCGCGGAAGAUGUAACGGGGCUAAACCAUGCACCGAAGCUGCGGCAGCGACACUAUGUGUUGUUGGGUAGGGGAGCGUUCUGUAAGCCUGUGAAGGUGUGCUGUGAGGCAUGCUGGAGGUAUCAGAAGUGCGAAUGCUGACAUAAGUAACGAUAAAGCGGGUGAAAAGCCCGCUCGCCGGAAGACCAAGGGUUCCUGUCCAACGUUAAUCGGGGCAGGGUGAGUCGACCCCUAAGGCGAGGCCGAAAGGCGUAGUCGAUGGGAAACAGGUUAAUAUUCCUGUACUUGGUGUUACUGCGAAGGGGGGACGGAGAAGGCUAUGUUGGCCGGGCGACGGUUGUCCCGGUUUAAGCGUGUAGGCUGGUUUUCCAGGCAAAUCCGGAAAAUCAAGGCUGAGGCGUGAUGACGAGGCACUACGGUGCUGAAGCAACAAAUGCCCUGCUUCCAGGAAAAGCCUCUAAGCAUCAGGUAACAUCAAAUCGUACCCCAAACCGACACAGGUGGUCAGGUAGAGAAUACCAAGGCGCUUGAGAGAACUCGGGUGAAGGAACUAGGCAAAAUGGUGCCGUAACUUCGGGAGAAGGCACGCUGAUAUGUAGGUGAAGUCCCUUGCGGAUGGAGCUGAAAUCAGUCGAAGAUACCAGCUGGCUGCAACUGUUUAUUAAAAACACAGCACUGUGCAAACACGAAAGUGGACGUAUACGGUGUGACGCCUGCCCGGUGCCGGAAGGUUAAUUGAUGGGGUCAGCGCAAGCGAAGCUCUUGAUCGAAGCCCCGGUAAACGGCGGCCGUAACUAUAACGGUCCUAAGGUAGCGAAAUUCCUUGUCGGGUAAGUUCCGACCUGCACGAAUGGCGUAAUGAUGGCCAGGCUGUCUCCACCCGAGACUCAGUGAAAUUGAACUCGCUGUGAAGAUGCAGUGUACCCGCGGCAAGACGGAAAGACCCCGUGAACCUUUACUAUAGCUUGACACUGAACAUUGAGCCUUGAUGUGUAGGAUAGGUGGGAGGCUUUGAAGUGUGGACGCCAGUCUGCAUGGAGCCGACCUUGAAAUACCACCCUUUAAUGUUUGAUGUUCUAACGUGGACCCGUGAUCCGGGUUGCGGACAGUGUCUGGUGGGUAGUUUGACUGGGGCGGUCUCCUCCUAAAGAGUAACGGAGGAGCACGAAGGUUGGCUAAUCCUGGUCGGACAUCAGGAGGUUAGUGCAAUGGCAUAAGCCAGCUUGACUGCGAGCGUGACGGCGCGAGCAGGUGCGAAAGCAGGUCAUAGUGAUCCGGUGGUUCUGAAUGGAAGGGCCAUCGCUCAACGGAUAAAAGGUACUCCGGGGAUAACAGGCUGAUACCGCCCAAGAGUUCAUAUCGACGGCGGUGUUUGGCACCUCGAUGUCGGCUCAUCACAUCCUGGGGCUGAAGUAGGUCCCAAGGGUAUGGCUGUUCGCCAUUUAAAGUGGUACGCGAGCUGGGUUUAGAACGUCGUGAGACAGUUCGGUCCCUAUCUGCCGUGGGCGCUGGAGAACUGAGGGGGGCUGCUCCUAGUACGAGAGGACCGGAGUGGACGCAUCACUGGUGUUCGGGUUGUCAUGCCAAUGGCACUGCCCGGUAGCUAAAUGCGGAAGAGAUAAGUGCUGAAAGCAUCUAAGCACGAAACUUGCCCCGAGAUGAGUUCUCCCUGACCCUUUAAGGGUCCUGAAGGAACGUUGAAGACGACGACGUUGAUAGGCCGGGUGUGUAAGCGCAGCGAUGCGUUGAGCUAACCGGUACUAAUGAACCGUGAGGCUUAACCUU
Molecule: ribosomal RNA, 2901 nt
Filed under: human gut metagenome
Description: bacterial LSU rRNA
Rfam family: Bacterial large subunit ribosomal RNA
Source: RNAcentral